CCUACGGGCGGCAGCAGUGAGGAAUAUUGGUCAAUGGGCGCGAGCCUGAACCAGCCAAGUAGCGUGAAGGAUGACUGCCCUACGGGUUGUAAACUUCUUGUAUAAAGGAAUAAAGUGAGGCACGUGGGCCUUGUUGUAUGUACGGUAUGAAUAAGGAUCGGCUAACUCCGUGCCAGCAGCCGCGGUAAUACGGAGGAUCCGAGCGUUAUCCGGAUUUAUUGGGUUUAAAGGGUGCGUAGAGGGGUUGUUAAGUCAGUGGUGAAAGUUUGCGGCUCAACCGUAAAAUUGCAAUUGAUACUGGCAGUCUUGAGUACAGUUGCGGUAGGCGGAAUUCGUGUUGUAGCGGUGACAUGCUUAGAUAUCACGC
Molecule: ribosomal RNA, 367 nt
Filed under: uncultured bacterium
Lineage: Bacteria
Description: partial 16S ribosomal RNA
Rfam family: Bacterial small subunit ribosomal RNA
Source: RNAcentral